AUUUACAUUUGAGAGUUGAGAAGCUGCAGGAAAAAGUGGAAGAAUUACUGAAAUUUAAAAUACUUCACAUCAACUAAAUACUCAGUAGGUGCCACAUGCAUUAUCUCACUUAAUUCAUAGUGCCCCCAUUUUUUCAAUGAAGAAAUAGAGGUUCAGUGAAAUGAAGUCAUUUGAUUGCACAGAGCUGAACUGGCAGCAUGAGGAUUUGAACCCAGGCAGCUUGGCUCUGGGGCAAGUACUCAGCCCCUACCUACUCCUGCAGCUACAGCCCUAAAGGGGUGGAGGAUCAUCAGGUAAGGCCUCGGACCAAGGGGAGGGGUAACUUUUCAGGAGUUGUGAGAAUGCCUUGGCUGAAUAUAGAGGCCCCUGCUUUCAGCGUCUGGCCCUAUGCAAAUCACCAAGUGAAUGUGGUCCCAUUUCUCUGUUUCCAUCUGCCUUUGUGAAACUGCUUCUGCUUAGCGGUGUGGAGUAUUGCUUUCCCAGUUUAGAAAGUUAAUUUAUAAAGGCAGCUGAAGUGAAGAAUAUGGUUCAAGAGGGUGACCCAGCUGCAGGUGUUGGGGGAAUAAGAUGGGGGCAGGGGAUGUAGAGCUGGAGAUUCAAGAAAAAAAAAUCUUGUAACUUUGAGGUACAAGAAACCUCAAAAAGAAAAAAAGAAAAGGUGAAAAGACAAAAGUAUGGAUGUAAGCUCAAAGCCUUGGCAGUAUCUAUCCCUUACCUGUUCUACACCCUGAUUUUUUGUUUAUUUUGUAUUUCUGAUACGAAAGCACAAAGUUGAAGUUUCUAAUUUCUUGGUGACAAAGUGCAUACAAACUUUGAGAAAGAUAAGGUCAUGUUUAUCUUUACUAAAAAUGUAGACAUGUUUGAGAAAAUUCAGAUAUGAGGAAGAACAAACAUGUAACCCAUAAUUCCAUCACGAAGCAGUCUCUGGUUUACAUAUUUUGAACCAUAUUCUUACACGUCACAAAGAAAAUCUUCAAGCAAAUUGUAAUCAAAUGAUUGGAUGACAGGGAGAAAAAGAAAGGCCAUGGGGAAGGUCACACAGAAUAAAAUCAGCCCUCUUAUAUCAGCCACCAUCUGAUUCCUUUAGUAAGUUGCAUAUUUUGCUGCCAGCAGAAUGGCAGUUCCCAAAAAUGAGGCCCCCAUGAGGCCCCUCCUUUACCACUGACCCGUAGGCAUUAUCUUUACGUUGCUCUAAGCCCCCUCUCCAAGCCUUGGGCAAGCCUCUCAAGGACUUUCGAAAGCCCAGCACCUGCCCUAGAAAAACCCUCCAGGAACCAGCCACCUCUGAGUGCCUCAACACUUUUCUUCAGGCAGUCUGUCAUGAAUAGUGCUCCAAGAGUCAAGGCUUAAAAGACUCUCAAAAACUCCAGCAUUCUCUUUGGAAACAUCCUUCUUGGACCUUCUGGAGGGCCAUGCUGCCGGAAGGUAUAAAGAGAAAUGAAGCCAAAUCACUGGGGAAGCUUUUGUUUGGUGGAAAUCUGUUGUCAGCCUGUCUUCCACUCUAUUGCGAUGCUGUGUGUGUGUGUAUAAGUGUGUAAGUGUGUGCUUGUGAUGUGUGGUUUAGAUAUUUUUUUUUUUCAUUUGACAGAGGUGAUUGUUUUUCUCUUACAAUGAGUUUUUAUUUGUUUUUAAUAGAAAACCCAUCAACGGUACAAAAGGGCAUGUGUAUCACUCUCCUCCAGCUGCCCAGGAUGUUGGGAGGAAGGAAGGCCAAGAGGAAGAAGGUGGCUCAGGUCCUGCUGCCAUGAAGAAGCAGGAGGCCAAGCAGGGGAUAAAUCCCAUUUGAGGAAAGGCCUAAGGAUUUUGGCACUGAAUAGAACAUCCAGCCCAGAAGGGACCUUACCAGCUUUGUCAAAUGGGCCUGCUACCUCUGGCUGCAGUGGCAAAGGAUUCCCUCUCUCAGUGACUGAAGAUGCCUUCUGCCAUUCAUAUGCUCAAGCUUGGGACCACCAGACAGCCACUCAGUUGCAAGCUAACCCAGAAGUAUAGAGACACAGCAAGAGCAGAGUCCCUGGCUGAGAAGAAAGCUGUAGGCAAAGGUGGUAUCCUUAUUAAGAGAUCAUCCAUCCUUCCAGCAGGGGUUAAUACUGUCACCUUGGGGUGAACAAGAAGGCUCAGCUGGUGGUAAUUGUACAUGAGGUGGAUUCUAUCUAGCUGGAUACCUAGAUAGAAUACCAUCUAUCUAGGUAUACCAUACCAUCAAAGAAAGCUAGACUGGAACACAUAGUCCACGGAAGAAGUAAGUCACAAUUGCCUUUACACAGGUCAACUUGGAACCCAGGAGCUCUGGCUAACCCAAUGAACAAUAUCAAUUACAAUAACAGAUCACUGAGGAGAGGGUGUCCUGUGUUCAAAACUCUGAGGCUCACCUUGCCAAACUGGAAAAAGCAGAGGCUGAAGAACUUGUCACUAAACUGGGUUAAAUGUGCACUGUUGAGUUUUUUGUUUUUUAAUUUUUAUAGUAGUUGGAUACAAUCUUUAUUUUAUUUAUUUAUUUUUAUGUGGUGCUGAGGAUUGAACCCAAUACUUUGCAUGUGCAAGGUGAGUGCUCUAUUGCUGAGCCACAACCCCAGCCUCCAUUGUUGAGUUUUUUAUUGACAUAAAAAUAAUAAAAUUAUCCCUAAGGAAAAAAAAUCCAGCAUAUACAAUGAAACUUACAUCUCCCUCUCCAACCUCUGUUAUCGAGUCCCCCAGUUCCCACUCUCAGAGGCAGCCAUUACUACUGGCUUCUUGUGUAUCCUUCAGAGAUUCCAUGCAUAUUCACACAUCCCCCUUCAACUUGUUCUGUGACCAGAGAGCAUCUUUUAAUGAACAUCGACUCUGUUAUUCCUUUUUGAGGCUUCUCAAUGCGUGCAGAACAAGGGUCUGAAUGCUACUGGGGCCUCCAAAGCUCUGCUAGUUCUUUAGCCUCCCCUCAGAGCACCUUUCUCCUUGUAUUAUGCUCCAUUCUUACUGAGAGCCAACCACCUGUGCUCUCCCCUCUUCC
This 2986-nucleotide long non-coding RNA is filed under the name Marmota monax (woodchuck). The record is from RNAcentral. Lineage: Eukaryota; Metazoa; Chordata; Mammalia; Rodentia; Sciuridae.